RNAcentral lists this long non-coding RNA (1682 nucleotides) under Sus scrofa (pig). RNAcentral's name for it is "lncRNA (ENSSSCG00025058485.1)". The record is from RNAcentral. Lineage: Eukaryota; Metazoa; Chordata; Mammalia; Artiodactyla; Suidae.
CACACGUCUCCGAGCGCCGAGGUGGAAAGCCAGUGCGUUCAAGCCGAGGGCAAGGCCUGGGUGAGUAGCACGUGUAUUUCAGCAGCUAGUAGCAUUGUCAUUUGGCCACGGGCUCUGUGCUGGGCAGGACGGCUCUUCCCUCACCCUCAGAGACUUCCCCACGUCCCUGCCCACCCUAGUUCCGGGUCUGGGUCGGCAGCAGAUUCAUGCCCGUGCCACAGGGACCAGAUCGGGGUGGGUGGAUGACCGGUCCAAUGACCCAGGCCGAUGCGACCCCAGCCAUGGCUUGGAGGUGCCCAGCUGGGGACUCAGACUGACUCCCGUUGGACCCACUCUGGGGGGGAUUUAGGGCUGGAGCUGCCACAGCCAUCAUGUCCCCUGGGGAGCUGGCAUGUCAGGUGGAUGGAAGCCAGUUCCGGCGACACCAGAUGACUCCUGACCCCCUGCCAGGCCUGCACCCAGCUCUGUCCCUGCAGCUUUUGGUCACAUGGGCUUCCAAGUUCUCUUUUAGCUUAAGUCAACUUAAGGCAAAGUUUUUUCACGUUUUGGAAAAAUGUGGGUUUUGGAGUUCCCUGGUGGGGUUUUGGAGUUCCCUGGUGGCUCAGUGGGUUAAGGAUGCAGCAUUGUCACUGCUGUUGGGCGAGGUCAGUCCCUGGCCCGGGAACUUCCACAUGCAGCAGGGAAGGCCAAAAAAAGGCGGGGAGCUCACUACAAGGAAACAGCAGGAGCCCACCUUGAACCCACGGUACCUGAUGUCUACUUCAUGCACUCCAGACACUCCAGAAGGCUCCAAAAGAGAGGUCGAGAUACUCCCCAUGGGAGACCCACAAACAAAAGGCAGGCGUCAGGGAGGGAUCCUGGAAGCAGUGGCAAUUGCAUUAGCCACUGGCUUUUAGGGAAUGCUUAUUAGAUGCCAGUCCCUGUGCUCAGGACCUUGCACAGGACCUGAGCCUGGGAGUGAGCAAGCUGUGGGCAUGGAGAAAUGGGGGCAGGGUGGUGAUCAUGUUUAAAGAUUGCAAAAGAGUGUCCGUGUGCCUCGAAGCCCUGGGGAGGCAGCAGUGACUCAAAGCUGGAACCGGGCCCGCUUCGGCGGCAGCGGCAGCCAGAUUCGGAGCACAGACAGGACACUUUGGUGCACCCAGGAUUUCAUGGCUUCCCUGUGUUUAUCCAGAAUUCCACCCCAGCAAGAUUUGCCAAGUUCCACCUGGGUUCGAGGACCCGCACAUCUCUCCACCCUGCUUCCACCCAGUUCCAGCUCCGGAGGACAUAGGCUAAUGGUCGAGCAAGAUAACCACCCUGGGAACCGAGGGAGGGGCCCGUUGGACGAGUGAGUGUAAGAGCUGCCUUAUUGCAACACCGCAGCCAGCCACCCUGCCCCUUUCAAAGGCAUAUUUUCUGGGACACUUGGCAGGACCUUCUGUGUGCCUUGGAACUUCAAAAAAUGAGGUGAGAGAGUUCCCAUUAUGGCUCAACAGGUGAAGAAUCCGAGGUUGUUUCUGUGAGGAUGUGGGUUCAAUCCCUGGCCUUGUUCAGUGGGUUAAGGAUCCAGCAUCGCCGCAAGCUGUGGUGGAGGUGGCAGACGCGGCUCAGACCCAGUGUUGCCAUGGCUGUGGCGUAGGCCUCAGCUGCAGCUCCAACUUGACCCCUAGCCUGGGAACUUCCAUAUGCUGCAGGUGCGGCCC